GAGGAAUCUUGCGCAAUGGGCGAAAGCCUGACGCAGCAACGCCGCGUGGGGGAAGAAGGCUUUCGAGUCGUAAACCCCUUUUGCAGGGGAAGAAGAUCUGACGGUACCCUGCGAAUAAGCCACGGCUAACUACGUGCCAGCAGCCGCGGUAAUACGUAGGUGGCAAGCGUUGUCCGGAUUUAUUGGGCGUAAAGGGCGUGUAGGCGGUCCAUUAAGUUCGAGGUGAAAUCUCCUGGCUCAACUGGGAGGGGCCCCCGGAUACUGAUGGACUAGAGGGGGGUAGAGGAAGGUGGAAUUCCCGGAGUAGCGGUGAAAUGCGUAGAUAUCGGGAGGAACACCGGUGGCGAAGGCGGCCUUCUGGGCCUACCCUGACGCUGAGGCGCGAAAGCGUGGGGAGCAAACCG
Molecule: ribosomal RNA, 404 nt
Filed under: uncultured bacterium
Lineage: Bacteria
Description: bacterial SSU rRNA
Rfam family: Bacterial small subunit ribosomal RNA
Source: RNAcentral